RNAcentral lists this small RNA (126 nucleotides) under Arabidopsis thaliana (thale cress). RNAcentral describes it as "ATSL094270". Lineage: Eukaryota; Viridiplantae; Streptophyta; Magnoliopsida; Brassicales; Brassicaceae. The record is from RNAcentral.
GACUAAAAAUAUAACAUGUCUUUAGUAACCAUGUCUCUGCAUAUUCAAUCUAAUCAUAUUCAACUUGAUGUUCUUGGAAAGUUUAGUGAAGUUCUUAUCAUAAUCUUAUAUCUUACGUAUUAGUUA